RNAcentral lists this transfer RNA (72 nucleotides) under Araneus ventricosus. RNAcentral's name for it is "tRNA-Thr". Lineage: Eukaryota; Metazoa; Arthropoda; Arachnida; Araneae; Araneidae. The record is from RNAcentral.
AGGCACCGACGAGAUUCGAACUCGUGAUCUCCUGUUUACUAGACAGGCGCUUUAAUCAACUACGCCAGCGCC